RNAcentral lists this ribosomal RNA (471 nucleotides) under uncultured bacterium. RNAcentral describes it as "bacterial SSU rRNA". It matches the Rfam family "Bacterial small subunit ribosomal RNA", at positions 28 to 509 of the family's 1533-position model. The record is from RNAcentral.
GACGAACGCUGGCGGCGUGCUUAACACAUGCAAGUCGAACGAGGUCCAAUCAUUCGCAAGUUUGAGGAAGACCUAGUGGCGAACGGGUGCGUAACACGUGAGGAACCUAUCCCAGUCUCUGGAAUAACAGGUGGAAACACCUGCUAAUACCGGAUACCGCUGGACCAUCGCAUGGUGGACCAACGAAAGAUUUAUCGGAUUGGGAGGGCCUCGCGGCCUAUCAGCUUGUUGGNGAGGUAACGGCUCACCAAGGCGUCGACGGGUAGCUGGUCUGAGAGGAUGAUCAGCCACACUGGGACUGAGACACGGCCCAGACUCCUACGGGAGGCAGCAGUGGGGAAUCUUGCACAAUGGGCGAAAGCCUGAUGCAGCAACGCCGCGUGCGGGAAGAAGGCCCUAGGGUUGUAAACCGCUUUCNGCAGGGAAGAAAUAGACGGUACCUGUAGAAGAAGGUGCGGCCAACUACGUGCC